This 636-nucleotide ribosomal RNA is filed under the name uncultured soil bacterium. Its description in RNAcentral is "bacterial SSU rRNA". It matches the Rfam family "Bacterial small subunit ribosomal RNA", at positions 26 to 644 of the family's 1533-position model. The record is from RNAcentral.
GAUCACGCUGGCGGCGUGCCUAACACAUGCAAGUCGAACGCGAAAGGGGCUUCGGCCCUGAGUAGAGUGGCAAACGGGUGAGUAACACGUGGGUGACCUGCCUUCGAGUGGGGGAUAACGUCCCGAAAGGGACGCUAAUACCGCAUGACAUCCUGCUCUUGGACGAGCGGAGAUCAAAGCUGGGGAUCGCAAGACCUGGCGCUUGAAGAGGGGCCCGCGCCUGAUUAGCUAGUUGGUGGGGUAACGGCUCACCAAGGCGACGAUCAGUAUCCGGCCUGAGAGGGCGGACGGACACACUGGGGCUGAGACACGGCCCAGACUCCUACGGGAGGCAGCAGUGGGGAAUUGUUCGCAAUGGGCGCAAGCCUGACGACGCAACGCCGCGUGGAGGACGAAGAUCUUCGGGUCGUAAACUCCUGUCGAGCGGGAAGAACGCUUCCCGGGUGAAUAUCCCGGGAAGUUGACGGUACCGCUAAAGGAAGCCCCGGCUAACUCCGUGCCAGCAGCCGCGGUAAUACGGGGGGGGCAAGCGUUGUUCGGAAUUACUGGGCGUAAAGGGCUCGUAGGCGGCCAACUAAGUCGGAUGUGAAAUCCCCAGGCUCAACCUGGGAACUGCAUCCGAUACUGGAUGGCUUG